Long non-coding RNA from Cyanistes caeruleus (blue tit), 2353 nucleotides. RefSeq lists it as uncharacterized. Lineage: Eukaryota; Metazoa; Chordata; Aves; Passeriformes; Paridae. The record is from RefSeq and is a predicted model, not a curated record.
CACAGGAGCUGGCUUGGGAAUGUUUCCUGACUCAGCAGCAGGGCGUUCUCUCACCGAGGCCCUGCCGCUGCUAAUAGCUUGUGGUAAUGGAGAAGCGUCUCGCAGGCAGGACGGUGGGAGGCUGAUCAGCUCCGGCAGAAGAAGUGAGGUCAGUGAUAAUGAGUGACAGUGAUGAGGAAUGCAAAUUGCAAGAGGAUUUAUGGAGCAGUUUCUGCUCAGCGAGCAGAUUCCAAAUAAGUGGACUGUUAAUAAGGCAAGCAAGCUCUUUGGCAGUGCCAGCUGUUGGAGGGGGACUUUUUUGACUGGCAUUCACACCAGACCAGCUGCAGGGGUACCACCAGCACAGACAACACUGCACACAUAUCCCUCACCACACACACAGAGGUAGCACGUGGGAUAAGGUGAAAGAAAGCAGGGAUAGGUGGCAGAAGACUGAUUACCAGCACACAAGGGAAAGCCAAAAAAGAGGACAACUUAGCAGGCUCAAGCCAUAACCAAACCCAUUUUUAUCUUCUCUCAGCCCCUUCCGUCUUCCUCAGAAUACACUAUGGUGUUAGAUGAGUAUCUCUCACUAUUCCUGCCAAAGAUGAAGUGACCAAAAGGCAUGCACCAAAAAUCCCAGCAGAGCUGGGAAAGACAAGCUUACUUUGCCCACCUCUUGCCUGCACAAGCUUGAGUGUCUCAGGAUUAUUGCUGCUGUGAAUUACAAAUGGUAGGUGUCACAGGCUCUGCUGAGGAAUGCCACACUCAGGGCAGUCUGCAGAAUGUUGGUGACAUACUAGAAAUCUCUUUUUGUUCAGUAUUAUUCCUUCCAAGAGCUGUGGGAUUUUGUCACAAUAAAGCCUCUCAGCAUCAGAGGAGCAGCCAGUUUCCCAGCCACAGAGCUGCCACCCUCAGCUACUUGGUGCAGUGACACACCCGAGCCUGCAAACCUUCCAUUCCCAGCACUGGCCUUGAAAUUUUACUCCAAGUAAUGUGCCCACCAGAAAGUUGUUAGAUUCAAGUCUUCAGGUUAAGGAGGCCUCACAGACGAGCUGCCAUUGAGCCCUUGUUGCUGGUAAGAUCAAGUUCUCCCCAUCAGAGGAGUAUUUAGGAAAGGCCCAAGGAACUCAAACAUCUCUGUACAUUUGCUAUGACCAUAGGCAAACAAACACAUCAGCUACAUGUACGCAAACGAUCGAUGGAAAGGCAAAGGUGAGUUCUACGAAGCUGUGCAUUUUACUGGAGGAAUGCAUAAACCACAUGGGCAGAAUGAAACUAUCAGCCCCUGCUGAAGCACAGUAAAGCCCUACCAAGAAAGCUAUGGCUAUGAUGGGGAGAAGAGCAGCAGCAGCUCCUACAGUAAGAGACAUUGGUCAGCACCCUCAGACAUCAGACCUUCACAUCUCAGACAGGCAGAGGAAAGAACACACAUAUGACAGCUGGAAGAGAAACCAAAGCGCUUUGCCUCACAAAAGAAAAUACAAAUGAGCAAUCUGAGUGCCAUCAAACCUGCUGUGAGAGAGAAAGAGAGAGAGAGAGGUAGGAUCAAAUCCCUUGUUAGACCUUAAGCUCUCUGGAAUUAGGCCACUUUAAGAAGUAAAAGGACUAGAGUUUAAAGGAUUCUGAGAAUUUCCCAUUCCUUGAGAUAACUAUGACCUUUACAAAGAAAACUACAAAGAACCCAGAGCAUAAAGGAAUGAGACUUCUGUGUCUUUCCUUUUCUUUUUCUUUCUUUCUUUUCUUUACUUUUUUUCCCCUCUCUCUGCUUUCUUUGUAGAAACAGGUAAUUGUGCUGCCCUUUCUUGGAAGAUGCAGUUCUCCCUCAGCUAGAGCUUCAUAAUAAAAGUGCCAGUACUGCCACCCUUGGCCAAUGCAAAAUUUGCAUGGAGAAUACAGUCGUGUGAGACUCAUCAUUAAAAAACCUGUCUUUACAGCAUGCUCUGGAGCAGAGGCAGAAAAGAUACAACUACUGGGGUAAAAUCUAGCCUAAGUCUGUUGAAGUCUUAGCCUAAAUCCACUGAUGUCUAAGUCAACUUCCCUAAUGAAGAUGGACAAUAGCUGGCCCAGGUUACCACCUCUAUUCAAAUGCCUCACAGCUACACAGGCAUGAAGUGGCCAGUGGUGCCCAUUUCAGUUCCUCUGAGAGCUGGUACCUUGUGUCCACAGAUGUCCACUCAGAGAUUAACUAAAUCCACCUGCUGACAUGUACACCAUGCUCUUCUGCCAGUCUACGACAAAGGUUUACAUGCUUCAAAGAAAAUGCUUGGAAGAAAUUCCCUAUAGCUGCAAGAGAUUCCCUAGCUAAAGAGAUGUAGCUACAAGCUGUUAGUAUGUGAACCACGGAAAACAGGAAGAGGAUGAGGAAGGAAAA